CCCCCAUAGGACCCCUCCACAUGCUGUGUGCACCAUAUCUGCUCUGCAGGACUUUUUGGGUGCCGCAGGUGGUGCUGCCAUGUGCAGCUCUCAGAGCUAUCACUGACAUUUCACAGCUCAGCCCCAUGAUGGUGUGUCCCAGAUGUUGCCCUCCCCAGCCAGGGUGCAGGCAAUUCAUCCCCUGUCCCGCUGCACUGAUUGGUCACAACACAGCCCCCUCGGGGGUACCAGGCACCAGCUCUGUCCCCAAAGCUGAAAUAUUUGCCAGCCUCCCAUGAGCAGUCUGCCACCUGCACAGGACCAUGGGUGCGAGCCCCCUGGUCAGCUGCCUCCCCCUUCCCACCCUGGGAUUUGGCAUUGGGCUUUCAGGAGAACAUCCAUGAUUUUGUUUGUGCUCUGCUCUCUUACCCAGACCUUUUCCUUGCACUGUUUGCAGUCACCCCAACACCUGCUUAUUGUGAUUUAAAAGUGGACAAAUUGUCUGUUUCCGUUGCCUUUGCUUUUAGAAGGAAACCGAAACCACUAUUAGACUUUUAAUAAUUUAAGAUAAAAAUGCUGUUCCUUAAGAACGUUUUCUGGCUAUAUUUUUGCAGUCGGGGGAUAGAAAGGAACAUUACAGGAAAUUUAAAGGAGGCUUUUGGUAUUAAAUCUUCACCUUUUCCAGAAGAUAACGCAAUUCCGUAAAUCUGUGAGAGACCUUUGUUUAACCCACCCCCCGCUAUCGCCGGCGAGGUUUUAUAGGCGCCUGUCUUGGUGCCGCUCACAGGCUGUGUUUUACAUAAUACCCUUCAGCAUCACUGAUAUUAACCUUGAUGGCAUUAUUAUUGCUAUUUACAGCUCAUAUGCUGGUAAUGGUAAACCUGAAUGGGAUUAAUAAAAUAAAUUAAGUGAUAGAAAUAUUAAUGCUAUUAACAAUCAGUAACAAUAGUUGACAGCAUAAGAAAAGGAAUAACCUGCCAUUAACCAAGCAGGGUAAGGUAUCUCUAGCACACGCAUAAAGGUAUCUGACACUUCAUUUUGAUAAACCCUAGAUUAAUUUUCUUUCAAGCAACAACUUUCCCAGCGCUUUCAUGCUUCUCUGUUUCAAAACUGAGCUGUUGGCACGUUUCCCACGUCACCUUUCUGAUGACCAACAGCCUGGUUCGCUGUAGGGCAGGCUCAGGGCAGGAGCUCUGUGAUGAGGACAGAGCCCUUGGGCUCCAGCUGCUGCUGCUGCUGCUGGGUUUUGGUCCCACAUAGAUCCUGGGCUUCAUGAAGCUGCUGCAACACAUUCUCUGUGCUCCCAGUCUGCGUUUCCAGCCCCCCCCUAAAAUUACAGCCUGCUUCUGGGUGCAGAUUUCCAGCUGAAGGACUGACCAGUGGUGCAUGACUGUUUCUGAACGUGCCAUUCACAUUUUCAUGUAUCCAGCUAAGGGAUUCUGAGCCCUGGUGUAGGAGCUGUUCAACAUCAGUUUGUGUUGAUCUAAUGUUGCAUGGGUGGGCACUGCUGGGGACCUCUCCUCUCCAUCCUUGCCACUGCAACACCAGCUUUGGAAUGGGGGAAGGUGACUUUCUGAUGAACUGUGAGGGAAGUGGUGACCUCUGGGCUUUUUAGGUGGGUCGCUGUGAGUUUUGCCAAAGCCUGUGAGAACAGAAAUGCCAGUCUGUCUUCCUUUUCAUUCCUUAUGGGAAGCUUUUCCUAUGCCAGAGUGCAGGUUUAUCAGAUGUGACCAUGUUUCAGUGGGUUUCUGGACUAAUGCACUGACUGACCUCAUACACCACUGCUCAUGGGUCAGACACCAAGGCUGCUGUGGGGAUUAUUUAAGCACACUGGAAAAUUCCCUGCCUAAUAAGGUGAGCGAAGGGUGGUAAGAAAAAAGCAUUGCUAAUUUUUUUUCCUCUUACAAAUGCAUCUUGCCAAUCCUUUACAGCUGGCUAAAAGCUGGGAUUUCUUGCACUAAGAAAGAAAGUGAGACCAUAAAUAAACCAGUGCAGGACACCUGGAAAGAAUAAAGUGCCCUUCUCAAUGUUGUAGGGGAGGAGGAAUUGGUGUCUGCCUGGCUGGUACAUGGAAAUGGAGUGGGGAAAGAAGCCUCGCAUCUGGGCCAGUGAGGAGAUGCUCACAAUAGUUUUCUUUCAUAACAUUUUCUCUGCUGAAACAUAUAUUUUUAACAUUACUGAUAAUAGUAAGUCUGGAAUGGAGAGCCCUUGCUACUACUCCAACAGUGCCAUCUUUGGUCAGAACAGAGGCUGAAAUCUGUUUCUCAAUAUAAGCCCAAAUUUCAAUCCCCUCUGCUGAAGGCAGAAAAUGGAUCAGCUCCAAGGGCAGGGGAUUCCCAGGAGCCCUGAAGUGAGGCUGCGAGGCUGCUAGUUAAAGUUACAGCACGACAUUGGUUUUCCUACACGCUUUUACUCAGAAGGCUUAUAAAAUUGCCUGAGAGAAUUCCGGCCAGUGGGGCAGAGGGGAAUUGCACAAUGCUCAGGGAAAAAGGGAGAGCCACUCAACACGCAACCUGGUCAAGGUCCUGCUGAAGACCAGAGGGGCCAAUUGAUGGACUUUGCUUUCUGGCACAGUGCUUGCAAGGAUUCCCCAGCUAGCAUCUAUGCAUGAUGAUACGCAUAUCUGGAUGAAGACAGACAUGCUGAGUCCAUCACUGUGAGCACCAGGCGGAACAUCCCAUCACUGGACUUCUUCCAGGCUGGGUGUCUGGAUGUCCGGCUGCCUCUCUGUCAGCAGACCCAAAGUCCUGCAUUUCCCUGUGCAAGAAUAACCUCUUCACAAACAUGGGUGGCAGUGCAGCUAUGACACACAGUGCCAAGCAUGGGGCUUGCCCGAAGUGGCAAAGAGCUGUCUUGAUGCCUUGCACCAAUGAAAAAGUGGAUUGCCUGCAGCUACAGCACGUACCAGGAGCUGAACCACUGUCCCUCUGGCCAAUCCAUUACCCCUAUGGCACAUUGAAGACAUUCAUACUCCCUUAUGAAUUUAAAGUAUCUUAUUUACCUACCUGACAUACUUGAGCUCUAAGUAUACUUUUAUGGGUAUCUGCUCUGCAUUUGGCACUCCUAGCUGGAGUUUGGGCCAAAUUCGGCCUGUGAGUAGAUUCAUUGCUGUCAUUUGGAUUUGUAGUGGCAGCAUUUGCCCAUUAUUGUGUUAUUUUAAUUCCCUCAAGAAUCUAAUGAAAAUUAAGUGAAAAAAUAAGGCUUUCUUUAUUCUAUUUUCAGAAUGAUGGAUUGAUAGAAGGACGGGCAACUUAUACUUGUAGGCUGAAGAUUUUAUGCAUAUAUACAUAACAGAUAUGGAGACAGAAUUUUUCCCUUAUGGCAAUGGAAUGGUUUUGAUAGUCUUCAUUAAAAUAGAUUUGAAAAUAC
Pezoporus flaviventris is the source of this 3348-nucleotide long non-coding RNA. RefSeq lists it as uncharacterized. The transcript is spliced from 3 exons. The record is from RefSeq and is a predicted model, not a curated record. Lineage: Eukaryota; Metazoa; Chordata; Aves; Psittaciformes; Psittacidae.